This 429-nucleotide ribosomal RNA is filed under the name bacterium. Its description in RNAcentral is "partial 16S ribosomal RNA". It matches the Rfam family "Bacterial small subunit ribosomal RNA", at positions 355 to 776 of the family's 1533-position model. The record is from RNAcentral.
UAGGGAAUCUUCCACAAUGGACGCAAGUCUGAUGGAGCAACGCCGCGUGAGUGAAGAAGGUUUUCGGAUCGUAAAGCUCUGUUGUUGGUGAAGAAGGAUAGAGGCAGUAACUGGUCUUUAUUUGACGGUAAUCAACCAGAAAGUCACGGCUAACUACGUGCCAGCAGCCGCGGUAAUACGUAGGUGGCAAGCGUUGUCCGGAUUUAUUGGGCGUAAAGCGAGCGCAGGCGGAAUGAUAAGUCUGAUGUGAAAGCCCACGGCUCAACCGUGGAACUGCAUCGGAAACUGUCAUUCUUGAGUGCAGAAGAGGAGAGUGGAAUUCCAUGUGUAGCGGUGGAAUGCGUAGAUAUAUGGAAGAACACCAGUGGCGAAGGCGGCUCUCUGGUCUGCAACUGACGCUGAGGCUCGAAAGCAUGGGUAGCGAAGAGG